GUUUAUUACUCCACAGUAAAAGGAACUUACAAGAUAUUCCACUCUUCUAUUUAUCGACAUUAUAGAUAAAACAGCUUGUUAUUUUAGGUAGUAACAAUAUCUUGCAAAAUCCUUUUUUUUUCCUAAUAAGCAGUAAAAAUAGAAUCUGUUUAAUUUUUAAAAAUAAAGCAGUGAUUUUUCUUUUCCUCCCUCCCCUCCUCCAAACUGCUGAUCCAAUUAUUCCCAAACCGAUCUCACUUUUGAAUUUCUGCUCUGAAGUUUGGUGACAAGCCAGGUUGAUAGGUAAUGAAGGGUUAAUUACUUUAUAGAGCUAUAGUAUGAAUUGCACGUUGAAUCAUUUCUUAAUUGAGAAUAUGGCAGAUGUAAUAGGAAAUCCUCUAAUAUGCAGUCAUUUAAGUUUUGGCAAAUACGUAAUAUCUUCAUGGCAAUCUUCUCAGGAAGUCCAGAUAACGUGAAAUUUACUCGUUAGUGUAUCAUCAUACUAUAUCUGAUUUCUCAGUGUAACUAUUUACAAAUUCUAAGAAAAUUUCCCACAGAGAUCACCUGUGUUGAACAGUUACAGACUUAAAUUUUUUGCUUUUAUUUAACAUUAGCAUGAGACAUUUGCUGUUUUCUUACCAGCUAGCCAUUCUAACAUCUUUGGUCUUUCUUAAUAAUUCUAGAUAUACUUAAGUCAGGUGGAUUAUGUUACACUGAGGCAGAGCCAAAAUUGAAAAUGUCUGAUUUGCGUGCACUAGUUCAAUUUCCUUCUGAAAGAGUGCUUGUUUCUUUGCCUAUUUUCUAUACAUUUUUAAAGUCUGUAAUUCCUGGAUUCCUUUUUGUACCUCAAAGUAUUCAAAGGCCGUUCAAAUAAAUGAAUAAUUAAUUAUUUUCUUUGUUCUUCUUAUCACUUUUCCCAUUGCACAAAACAUUAAAAGCAAUGAAGUGUUAAGCAACUUACUUUUUUAAAAAUUUAUUUAAUUCACUAAACAUAAAAUUCUAUUAGGUGGUCAAAUUCACUGUUAUAUGAUUUUGUUAUUGAAUAAUUCAGUUCAGCCUUGACUAUAGUGGAGCUCCUUCCAACAGUAAUAAAAUAGGGAGUUAAUAUGGAAUAUGCA
Molecule: long non-coding RNA, 1097 nt
Filed under: Numida meleagris (helmeted guineafowl)
Lineage: Eukaryota; Metazoa; Chordata; Aves; Galliformes; Numididae
Description: lncRNA (ENSNMEG00000005045.1)
Source: RNAcentral